GAUGAACGCUGGCGGCGUGCCUAACACAUGCAAGUCGAACGAAGCAUGACCCUUGAGGCCUUCGGGCGGAAGGGGCCAUGACUUAGUGGCGGACGGGUGAGUAACGCGUGGGUAACCUGCCCUAUACUGGGGGAUAACAGCUAGAAAUGGCUGCUAAUACCGCAUGAGCGCACAGUCCCGCAUGGGACAGUGCGGAAAACUCCGGUGGUAUAGGAUGGACCCGCGUCCGAUCAGCUGGUUGGUGGGGUAACGGCCCACCAAGGCGACGAUCGGUAGCCGACCUGAGAGGGUGACCGGCCACAUUGGGACUGAGACACGGCCCAA
RNAcentral lists this ribosomal RNA (324 nucleotides) under uncultured bacterium. RNAcentral's name for it is "bacterial SSU rRNA". It matches the Rfam family "Bacterial small subunit ribosomal RNA", at positions 28 to 334 of the family's 1533-position model. The record is from RNAcentral.